This is a long non-coding RNA of Lemur catta (Ring-tailed lemur), 404 nucleotides long. RefSeq lists it as uncharacterized. The transcript is spliced from 3 exons. The record is from RefSeq and is a predicted model, not a curated record. Lineage: Eukaryota; Metazoa; Chordata; Mammalia; Primates; Lemuridae.
AACUGGGGAACCAGGCUGCACAGCAGGAGGUGAUUCCGUUCCUGGUUGGCAGGGGCGGGGAAACAACCUCUAGCCUGUUUGCUUCCCUGUUACGACCUCCCUUUGGCAUUUUUGAACGUGUGACUGAGCCAUGGCUCUGCCGUGAGGACACUUGGAUUCCCGGUCAGGCUAAGUCAGCUGCUUCUCUGGGCCAAGGAAGCAAAUAAAACCGACUGUUUUGAAAAACAGCCUACAUGUCCACAAAGAAGAAAUGGUUAAAUGAGAGAUGGUAUGUCCACACGUGGAAAUCCAUGCAGUUGUUUAAAAUGAUGAGAUAGAUUUGUUUGUGCUGACAGAAGAGGCUCUCCAAGACAUGUUACUGAGUGAAAAAAAAAAUCAAGUAUCAAAUGAACACUCAGUAAGAC